Molecule: ribosomal RNA, 815 nt
Filed under: uncultured bacterium
Lineage: Bacteria
Description: bacterial SSU rRNA
Rfam family: Bacterial small subunit ribosomal RNA
Source: RNAcentral
AGAGUUUGAUCCUGGCUCAGAACGAACGCUGGCGGCGUGGAUAAGACAUGCAAGUCGAGCGCUGAUUACAGGGUAGCAAUAUUCUGUAGUCGGAGCGGCGCAAGGGUGCGUAACACGUGGGUAAUCUGCCAUGAAGUUUGGAAUAACUCGCUGAAAGGCGAGCUAAUGCCGGAUGUGAAAGCUGGGAGGCAUCUCUCGGUUUUCAAAGCUGGGGACCGUAAGGCCUGGCGCUUCAUGAUGAGCCCGCGGCCUAUCAGCUAGUUGGUAAGGUAACGGCUUACCAAGGCUAAGACGGGUAGCUGGUCUGAGAGGACGACCAGCCACACUGGAACUGAGACACGGUCCAGACACCUACGGGUGGCAGCAGUCGAGAAUUUUUCACAAUGGGCGCAAGCCUGAUGGAGCGACGCCGCGUGGGGGAUGAAUGGCUUCGGCCCGUAAACCCCUGUCAUUUGCGAACAAACCUUGACCGCUAACACCGGUCGAGCUGAUUGUAGCGAAAGAGGAAGGGACGGCUAACUCUGUGCCAGCAGCCGCGGUAAUACAGAGGUCCCAAGCGUUGUUCGGAUUCACUGGGCGUAAAGGGUGCGCAGGUGGUCGAGUAAGUCUGAUGUGAAAUCCCGCAGCUUAACUGCGGAAUGGCAUUGGAUACUAUUCGGCUAGAGGGUUGGAGGGGGGACUGGAAUUCUCGGUGUAGCAGUGAAAUGCGUAGAUAUCGAGAGGAACACCAGUGGCGAAGGCGAGUCCCUGGACAACUCCUGACGCUGAGGCACGAAAGCUAGGGGAGCAAACAGGAUUAGAUACCCUAGUAGUCC